This 23-nucleotide non-coding RNA is filed under the name Arabidopsis thaliana (thale cress). The record is from RNAcentral. Lineage: Eukaryota; Viridiplantae; Streptophyta; Magnoliopsida; Brassicales; Brassicaceae.
AGCAACUUUUGUUGAGUAGGCCA